GACCUAGUGGCUCAGAUGGUAAAGCAUCUGCCUGCAAUGCAGGAGACCAGAGUUUGAUCCCUGGGUUG
RNAcentral lists this transfer RNA (68 nucleotides) under Ovis aries (sheep). It matches the Rfam family "tRNA". From Rfam's summary of the family: Transfer RNA (tRNA) molecules are approximately 80 nucleotides in length. Their secondary structure includes four short double-helical elements and three loops (D, anti-codon, and T loops). Lineage: Eukaryota; Metazoa; Chordata; Mammalia; Artiodactyla; Bovidae. The record is from Rfam by way of RNAcentral.